AGAAAAUCAAAAUUUUAAUGAUGAACUUGAUACCAUAAGCAACAAUUUACCACCCACAUCAGAAAAUCAGAAUUUUAAUGAUGAACUUGAUACCAUAAGCAACAAUUUACCACUCACCUCAGAAAUACCUAGAUACUCUAUAAAAAAUUAUGAUAAAAAUAAGCUAAAUACACUUGAUCACUUCAAAUCUCUACCUAGUAAAAGUAUAUCAAGUAUCACAUUGAAGAAGAAUGAUAGUAGUCAACAAAAUAUUAUAGGCUGUAUCAAUUUAGAAUUUAAAGGAAUAUCUCAAUUAAUAUUCACACCAAGGGGUAAAAAAAAUAGUGAUAACAAACAAAAAAAUACACUAAGUCACAACAAAUCACUAUCUAAUAAAUAUAUAUAAAAAAUCUAGGGAGAAUUUAAA
This is a long non-coding RNA of Gordionus sp. m RMFG-2023, 406 nucleotides long. RefSeq lists it as uncharacterized. NCBI's taxonomy places the organism in Eukaryota, Metazoa, Nematomorpha, Gordioida, Chordodea, Parachordodidae. The record is from RefSeq and is a predicted model, not a curated record. The transcript has 6 exons.